GGAUCCAGACUUUGAUUCUGGCUCAGGACGAACGCUGGCGGCGCGCCUAACACAUGCAAGUCGAACGAGAGAUGAGGAGCUUGCUCUUCAAAUCGAGUGGCGAACGGGUGAGUAACGCGUGAGGAACCUGCCUCAAAGAGGGGGACAACAGUUGGAAACGACUGCUAAUACCGCAUAAGCCCACGGCUCGGCAUCGAGCAGAGGGAAAAGGAGCAAUCCGCUUUGAGAUGGCCUCGCGUCCGAUUAGCUAGUUGGUGAGGUAACGGCCCACCAAGGCGACGAUCGGUAGCCGGACUGAGAGGUUGAACGGCCACAUUGGGACUGAGACACGGCCCAGACUCCUACGGGAGGCAGCAGUGGGGAAUAUUGCGCAAUGGGGGAAACCCUGAUGCAGCGACGCCGCGUGGAGGAAGAAGGUCUUCGGAUUGUAAACUCCUGUUGUUGAGGAAGAUAAUGACGGUACUCAACAAGGAAGUGACGGCUAACUACGUGCCAGCAGCCGCGGUAAAACGUAGGUCACAAGCGUUGUCCGGAAUUACUGGGUGUAAAGGGAACGCAGGCGGGAGAACAAGUUGGAAGUGAAAUCCAUGGGCUCAACCCAUGAACUGCUUUCAAAACUGUUUUUCUUGAGUAGUGCAGAGGUAGGCGGAAUUCCCGGUGUAGCGGUGGAAUGCGUAGAUAUCGGGAGGAACACCAGUGGCGAAGGCGGCCUACUGGGCACCAACUGACGCUGAGGCUCGAAAGUGUGGGUAGCAAACAGGAUUAGAUACCCUGGUAGUCCACACCGUAAACGAUGAUUACUAGGUGUUGGAGGAUUGACCCCUUCAGUGCCGCAGUUAACACAAUAAGUAAUCCACCUGGGGAGUACGACCGCAAGGUUGCAACUCAAAUGAAUUGACGG
RNAcentral lists this ribosomal RNA (901 nucleotides) under uncultured Bacillota bacterium. RNAcentral describes it as "bacterial SSU rRNA". It matches the Rfam family "Bacterial small subunit ribosomal RNA", at positions 1 to 916 of the family's 1533-position model. Lineage: Bacteria; Bacillati; Bacillota. The record is from RNAcentral.